CUCUCACACCGUGCUGGGCACUGCUGAGUCCUGGAGCAGUUUCAGCCACUGUUCUGAUAGCCUAUCACAGCUGUCAAAUAGCUCGGUCAUUUCUCACGGCUAUCAGGGUUCCUGUUAUAUCUGGCUCAGUCGCUAAUUUGUAAAGUCUAAUCUGUUUGGUUCCUGCGUUAGAAACGAAGCAAAGUGGAACUUGUGCAAGACGCACAGAGAGAAACGGGAAAAAAGAAAAUCAAGCCAGGAACAACACAAGGGUGGAAAUGUUGAGAAAACACAACAGCAUUCCAGAGCACAAUCUGGGUAUAGGUAGGUAGCUGGAAGCCACCUUUAAUGUGAUGCAGAGAAAGGCAUUUGACCACUCUAGUUCUGGCUGUGCCUUAGGAAGACGUCAUAGCAGGACAUUCUACCGCCACAAUGAUGUUCAAGCUGGUAAUGUCCAAGGGCUUAUGAACUUGAAGUUUUGCAAGUGUU
This 468-nucleotide long non-coding RNA is filed under the name Mus spicilegus (steppe mouse). RNAcentral's name for it is "lncRNA (ENSMSIG00000019100.1)". Lineage: Eukaryota; Metazoa; Chordata; Mammalia; Rodentia; Muridae. The record is from RNAcentral.